Molecule: long non-coding RNA, 370 nt
Filed under: Olea europaea (common olive)
Lineage: Eukaryota; Viridiplantae; Streptophyta; Magnoliopsida; Lamiales; Oleaceae
Description: long non-coding RNA (OEUR_LNC008212)
Source: RNAcentral
AAAUAACAAAAUCUUUGAAUAGCAUGUACAAGAGCAAAGAUCAAAUCCACUUCAUCAAGGAAGCUCGCAUGCGUGGGCAGAAAGGCAUCCAAUUUAAUAUACAUCUCUCUUUCCAAUAUCUCAUGCAAAAUUAGAGAUUAUUGCUCCAAUAAAAUCAGAUGACUUCAUACUAUUUGCACUGAUGAAGGAAGAAACAAAAGCCUAAAAUCCCUACGGAAAUUCUAUGACCACAUAAAUAUUAGACAUUAAACAAAUAUAUCAAGUUAUAGGUUUCAUGUACAAGAACAAGCAGUCUAUUUCCAGCUUUCAUUCCCCAAAAUUUUCAUUUGGAAGAAACCAUCUGAUCAAUUUCACCAUUUUGGUUGUACAU